Trichomycterus rosablanca is the source of this 127-nucleotide small nucleolar RNA. RefSeq annotates it as small nucleolar RNA SNORA65. Lineage: Eukaryota; Metazoa; Chordata; Actinopteri; Siluriformes; Trichomycteridae. The transcript has a single exon. The record is from RefSeq and is a predicted model, not a curated record.
CCCGCCACUGUGCCAGUCUGUGAAAGUGACUUGUUAUAGUCCAGUGGAGGCUGAGAGUGACCCAGCUCUAGGAAGCAGGGCUGCCCAAUCCGAUGGGUAACUCUGUGCCGAAAGACCUGGUACAAGC